Molecule: ribosomal RNA, 168 nt
Filed under: Candidatus Bathyarchaeota archaeon
Lineage: Archaea; Thermoproteati; Candidatus Bathyarchaeota
Description: partial 16S ribosomal RNA
Rfam family: Archaeal small subunit ribosomal RNA
Source: RNAcentral
AGAGCGGUAGUCCGGAGAUGGGUACUGAGACAAGGACCCAGGCCCUACGGGGCGCAGCAGUUACGAAACCUCCACAAUGCACGAAAGUGCGAUGGGGCUACCCCGAGUGCCGUCCGCUGAGGAUGGCUUUUCCUUAGCGUAAUGAACUAGGGGAAUAAGGAGAGGGCA